CCAGGCUAGAGGAGGGUAGGAAGGAAAGCAGGAAAAUCCCAGCUCAUUCUGCCUGUCCUUGCUGCAGAAACCCCCUGGUUCUUUUUAUGCAGGAUAACCCUCAAGGACUGAGGCUGGGACUGAAAAAACAGCUGCAUUGUGCUGCAGCCACAGCUGUAAUCUCUGGGACUCCAGCACAGACCAAACAGGAUUAUGCAGAAGGCCAGGAUAAUAUUUAGUGUGAAUUAAAGGCACGUUUCUUUCAGGAUGAUUCCCAAAGUCUGUAAUACUCAGACAUCUCCCUGAAUCUGGAGUAAUGACAAUUUGAAGUGGUAGAGAAGAUGGUGCCCAAAUCCAGAGGAAUGCUGAGAACUCCUCCAGCCUCUAAAGCAGUUUGGGCUCAAAGUGGCUGUGAUUCAGCAUCCCACCAAAGCUCUGCUGGAACCACGAGUUUGUAUUGAGAAAAAAGACCAGGCUGGGCAGAGCUGGAAGGGAAGUUGAGAAGAUGCUCUGGGGAGUCUCCAGCAGUUUGAACCCGGAGGGCAGCGAGGUGCAGGAGGGAGAUUUUGGUGCUCACCUUAAGUCAGAGUGGGUGCCCCUGUGUCCCGAGUGUCUCUUUGUGGCUCUGGGUGGCACAGGACCUGAUCCGAGGAAGAGAGAGCCACUUUCUCACCGAGAGGAAAAGAAAAGCAACACGUCAUGAGUUAAGUACGCCUCCAAGAUGUCUUAAUUACAGCCCAACGUGCUUCCAUUCAGACCCCAGG
Long non-coding RNA from Catharus ustulatus (Swainson's thrush), 743 nucleotides. RefSeq lists it as uncharacterized. The transcript is spliced from 4 exons. The record is from RefSeq and is a predicted model, not a curated record. NCBI's taxonomy places the organism in Eukaryota, Metazoa, Chordata, Aves, Passeriformes, Turdidae.